GAGAAAGAGAGUGACACAGAGCAGUUCGAUGGGUCGCGCGAGAAUCAGGUGCGUCCAGAGCAUCAUUUAUAUGCAAUUACACAUGCGAAAGAAAAAGAGAGAGUCACAUAGAGCAAUUCGAUCGAUCGAAUUGCUAUGUGUGAAUCUCUCUCUUUCUCUUGCACGAUAGAUCGAACUGCUCUGUUUAAAUCUCUCUCUUUCUCUUGCGCGAUCAAUUGAACUACAGUGUGAAUCUCUCUCUUUCUCUUGUGUGAUCAAUCGAACUAUUCUGUGUGAAUCUCUCUCUUUCUCUUGUGUGAAAUGGAGACGCCGAUGGGUAAGCACCACCAUAUUCCUCUGGAUGCCCCACCGCCGCUGCCUGAGAGAAAACCGGCGAGACAACUGGUGGGUCUAUUUGAGAAUGGGAGUUGCAAUCCCAUUCCGAUGUUUGAAUCGCCGGUUUUUUCUCCGGUGGAUGGGACUACUGCGCUAAGGGAAAGGGCUGCACCAUUCCGAUGUUUGAAUCGCCAGUUUUCUCUCCGGCGGAUGGGACUACCACGCCCAAGGGAAAGAGCUGCAGAAAACGAGUUUCCCCGGCGACAAAUCCGGGAUACAUGGAUUGGUCGUUCUUCUAUAAAAGCAAUGAUCCGCAAUACAUUGAUUGGUACUUUUGUAAAAGCAAUGAUUCACGUCCUCUGCACACCCUCUCAUUUUUCACUAGUAUGGCUCCUCGCUAUUUUAGGUGAAAUGCUCAUUGAUUAUGAUAUUGGUAAUGAAACCCUCGUUUCAUUGUAAAAAUGAUUAUCUUUUUUGUCAAAUUCAUGUGAUUUUUCUCAUGGGUCCUUUGCAAAUUCAUGCUUAUGGCAUAUUAAAUGUUUGUGUUUAGGCUUGACUUCCUAUUUGAUGAUUUUUUAUUGCACAUUGGAGAAACGGUUUUAAGGUUUAUAAAGAAAAGGGAGAUCUUAUUAGCUAUCAUAGAUGAUGUUGGGUCCACUGUCUGUAAUACUAGCUUAUUCCGUGGGAUGUAUUGUGUUAGAUAACUUCUUUAUAGCCUUGAGAUAAUUUUCAUUCAGGAUAUUUGUAAGCACAUUUUUUUGGUGUUUUAAGAAAAAAUUACCUUUGAUUUAUCCCUGUAUUUAGUUGUAUGCCUGUGUUGUGCUUCUUUGAUUUACCUAUGUUGUUUCUAUGAUUAAAAGUUGUUAUCCUUGCAUUACCUUUGAUUUAUCCCUACAUUUAGUUGUACGCGUGUAACAUGUGCAUUAUUUUUAGUUUUUAUCAAAGAUUUCAAUUGCUAGCCAAUACACCGAAUAGAUGGAAGGAUCUAUGUCCAUCCCCAACUUCCUUCUAUAUACAUGUAGAUAUACAAAACCAGAUUUUACUUACCUGUAAUCCAAAUUGCAGAAGCUUGUCAUAAUUGGCUAUCUCCAAUGCAUUCUCAACAUCCCAUGACAUUGCAUGUAUUUUAGCCAUAAUUAGGUUCAGAUCUAAUUAUUUUAGAUGGUGUAUGUUUUCCCAAAAUGCUAAGGAGCUGAAAGUGAAAACAACAUUCUUUUUUACAAAUGUCCCAUAUACAUUGUCCUAGGAUGGCUAUGUUUUCCCUUGCCCUUUUAUUGUUGCUUAUAACGCCUUAAUUAUUGACAUCAUAAUGAAAUUUAGAUUCAAAGAGUGGGCUGCCCAGGUAGUCACCUAGACCUCAAAGAACUUUAUCUUAACACAUGAAGGUGAUUUCUUGCAGCGUGUCAUUCAUUUGCAGAGCUUUCUCAGAGAUACAUCAGAAUGAUGUAACAUACUGCUGAUAUCAUUUCCGUCUUAGAAUACUUGAUUUAUAGCAUUCAAAGAAGUUAAGAGGGUAGAUACCUAUAUGUGGAGGUCAUCAUCUUUGUCUUCGUCAUCAUCAACUUGAGGAUUCUUUUACUGCCAUUGAUGCAUUUAGUUCAAUCUCAAUUCUGUUUACCACAUAAAUUGUAGUCUAAAAUGCUAGUUUAGCUUACCUCCACAUAAUUUAUAGUGUAAUGCUAGUUCAGAUCAGAAAAUCUGUCACUUUAUGACUUGUGCCUCAAUAUUCAUUGGUUGCAUUUACGCUAAUCUGCCUUUCAUGGGCUGUAAUCGAUGUAUUUGUAUGCAUUUGGGGUUGAAACAUUGGACCACAUUCUACUUGAAAUAUUGAUUUGCUUUGCAUGGCUUAAUAUAAUGGUGACCUUUUUAUUGCACUCUAGUAGAUGUAAUUUUAUAAACAGGUAAGCACAUUUUGACCAUCUUCACCACCUUCGUGCGUUCGCCAUCUUCACCACCCCCGACGAGAGGCAGCUCAUUUUUCCCAAUUGAAUGUUUGAUCUCAUUUUGCUUGGUGGUUGCAAAUCACGUAUUGGUGGUUCAAGCGAAGGGAAAGAAAGGAAGACGAGAGGGGUGGCAGUGUGGUGUAGGGGACUCAACCGCAUCGGUGUCAAGUUGAGGGGUGUAAGGUAGAUCUUAAUGAUGCCAAGGCUUACUAAGGUGUGGUAGCAUUUCAAGCCACCUAAAGUCAUUGUUGCUGGCCUUGAACGGAGAUUUUAUCAACAGUACAGCAAGUCAACUAGCCCUCUGCUCUAGUUACUUUUCUUUCUCAUUUGUUGGUUCUAAUUAUUGUUUGUUAUUCUGGUUAAUAUUUUGAGGGUUUUUCAUCCUGUUGCUUUUAGGUCUUGUGUUAUGUUUUUGGCAUAUGUAGAUUGUCAUUUGUAAUUAAGCUAUUUUUUUGGCCUUUUAUUUUAUUUUUUAAAUGUUGUUCAUCAGUUUUGUGUUAUGUUUUACUUAUCAAAAAAAGUUUUGUGUUA
This is a non-coding RNA of Corylus avellana, 2789 nucleotides long. NCBI's taxonomy places the organism in Eukaryota, Viridiplantae, Streptophyta, Magnoliopsida, Fagales, Betulaceae. The record is from RefSeq and is a predicted model, not a curated record.